Molecule: RNA transcript, 3448 nt
Organism: Peromyscus californicus insignis
Lineage: Eukaryota; Metazoa; Chordata; Mammalia; Rodentia; Cricetidae
Gene: Acsf3
Gene name: acyl-CoA synthetase family member 3
Exons: 11
Source: RefSeq, a predicted model, not a curated record
UUCCGGCCUGAUCCACCCACCUGCCUUCUCAGGCCUGUGCCCCACCCCCAGUGACCCCCAUCUGACCCCAGGUGAGCGCGUUGCAGAGAACAAGAAAGGGGGUGUCGAGCCCAGCCAGUGGUUUGUUGGUGUGAUGCCACCCCUCUUGACACUACCCUUCAGGCGUCUCAUCUGGUCCUUGGCCUCCAGUCAGCUGGCUCCCAGAAGACACAGAGGACAUAGCCUCCUGCAUACAGCUCCAGAGGCCUGCACAGAUGGGAAUGCCCCAGUGUUCAUCCGCGCCCUGGCCUUUGGGGACAGGAUUGCCCUUAUUGACAAACAUGGCCGUCACACCUACAGGGAGCUUUAUGACCGCAGCCUUUGCCUGGCCCAGGAGAUCUGCAGGCUUCGGGGUUGUAAGGUUGGGGACCUCCCGGAGGAGAGGAUUUCCUUCCUGUGCUCCAAUGAUGUCUCCUAUGUUGUAGCUCAGUGGGCCUCCUGGAUGAGUGGUGGUGUUGCCGUCCCACUCUACUGGAAGCACCCUGAGGCCCAGCUGGAGUAUUUCAUCCAGGACUCCCGGAGCUCUGUGCUCGUGGUUGGCCAGGAGUACCUGGAGCGGCUAAGGCCAGUGGCCCAGAGGCUGGGAGUCCCUCUUCUGCCCCUCACGCCUGCCAUCUACCAUGGAGCAGCAGAGCAGCCCAUAGAGCAGCUGGUCCAAGAGAGGGAUUGGCAUGACCGGGGUGCUAUGAUCUUCUACACCAGUGGGACCACAGGGAAGCCCAAGGGUGCACUGAGCACCCACCGUAACAUAGCAGCCGUGGUGACUGGGCUGGUCCAUUCAUGGGCAUGGACAAAACAUGACGCGAUCCUUCAUGUCCUCCCUCUGCACCAUGUCCACGGCGUGGUCAACAAGCUGCUCUGUCCGCUCUGGGUAGGGGCCACUUGUGUGAUGCUGCCGGAGUUCAGUGCUCAGCAGGUUUGGGAAAAGUUCUUGAGUUCAGAAGCUCCACGGAUUAAUGUGUUUAUGGCAGUGCCCACGAUCUACAGCAAACUGCUGGAUUACUAUGACAAGCAUUUCACACAGCCCCGUGUCCAGGAUUUCGUGCGUGCAGUUUGUGAAGAAAAAAUCAGGCUGAUGGUGUCAGGCUCGGCUGCCCUGCCUGUCCCCCUGCUGGAGAAGUGGAAGAAUGCCACGGGCCACACGCUACUGGAGCGCUAUGGUAUGACGGAGAUUGGCAUGGCCCUGUCCAACCCCCUGACGGAGGCUCGCCUGCCAGGUUCUGUGGGAACCCCACUGCCAGGAGUGGAAGUACGCAUCGUCUCAGAAAACCCGCAGAAGGGUUCUCCCUACUUCAUCCAUGCAGAGGGAAAUGAGAAGGAGACAAAGGUGACCCCGGGGUUCGAGGAAAAGGAAGGAGAGCUGCUAGUUAGGGGACCCUCUGUGUUUCGAGAAUACUGGGAUAAGCCAGAAGAAACUAAAAAUGCUUUCACUUCGGAUGGCUGGUUCAGAACAGGAGACACUGCUGUGUUCAAGGAUGAUAGGUACUGGAUCCGAGGGCGUACAUCAGUGGACAUCAUCAAGACUGGAGGCUAUAAAGUCAGCGCCCUGGAGAUUGAGCGGCACCUGCUGGCCCACCCCAGCAUCACAGAUGUGGCUGUGAUUGGAGUUCCGGAUAUGACAUGGGGCCAGCGGGUCACAGCUGUAGUGGCCCUUCAAGAAGGACACUCACUGUCGCACAGGGAUCUCAAGGAAUGGGCCAGGUUUACUCUCUUUGACCACCUGCCCCACCAGUCCUGACUCGAGGCUCACGGCCACUCAGGAAGUCUGCAGAAGCAAUUCCAGCUGAACCAGAGGAGUGGGGAGCUGUGCAUCCUGGAGACCUGUGGUUCGUGAGGAGGGGCUGCUGUGACGCACCAUGGGCUAGACUCCCAGCCCCAGCUCUGCCUGCCCGGAAGAAGCCACCCAACCCCCACUUGCCUUUCUGGAUUUGGCCAAAUGUGACCCACCUGUCCCCAAGGAGGGCGGCCUGGUUUCACCAAAGCCCAGCCCCCAUGGCCACAGCUGGAGGGGUUUGGGGGCAGUGACGUGGUGGUGGCCUUUCUUGACGAUCACUUUUGCUGGGGUGGGUUUUCCCAUCCAAUGCAGCCUGGAGACUGCUGGUCCAGUGUAAAAACUGCUUCACAACUGGGUUCCUCUGGAGACCAACCGCACCCACGGGACACCUCUGCCCUGAAGCACAGCUUGUUUGCUUACUUGGACUGGCUUCCAGAUCCCCGCCCCACACACACACACCCUGUGGCCACAUCACAUUUAAAUCAUAGUAAGACAGGAGACCCGACCUACGUGCCAGGUUACCUGUGAUGGAAGAAAAUCCUCUGGGCCCGAACUGAUGGAGCAGGAGCAUUAGGUUGGACAGGUCCACGUGCAGGGCCCCAGAGCAGGUGUGGGGCCUCCAUCCCUGAGAGUUAGGAGGACAGGUGUGAACCAGGUGGAGACAGCAGCAUGCAAAAGCCCAUCCCCAACCCCCACCCCUGGUCUGAAGACAAGGGAAGCUACAGGACCAGGUCCUUGCCUUCCUCCGCCGAGUCUCUAGAGCCACACUGCCCCCUGCUGCUGCUAGUGGGCAUGGCAGGAACCUCUAGACUGGGGAUGUCUCUCCUCAUUCUGGUGGAACACAGCCCCCAAGCACUUCAGCAGAUUCUGAGUGGGAGCCAGUUAUAAUCUGUUGACGCUUCUGGCACCCGACAGGACACACAGGAAGCCAAGUGAGCUCAAGGCUGGGCCUCUGCCUGGAUAGGUACCCUGCCAGGUGGGGAGGGCAGGUAUGGCUAGUGCCAGAGCAGCUGGGCAGAGGGUGCUCUGAGGUUUGGAGCGCAGGAAAAGCCCUAAGGAGCUGCAUCCAUCGGCGCACCCUUGUCCUAACCCAUGUAGCACUGAGACUGACCCCAGGUCCUCAGAGAUGCAGGAGCCUGCAGGCAGUCUGGUGGCUCCUCUCUGCUCCACCCACCAUGGAUCUAGAAUGUUCCAUUCCAUACUUUUUUUUUCCCCUGCUGGUGAAGAUUGACUCCAGGGUCUCAUGCAUGCUGGGCUAGCCUCUACUAUUGACACGGCCCCAGCCCUUGGUUACUUUAAUUUGACACAGUCUCACGAAGUUGCCCAGGCAAUCCACCUGUCUCCACCUCCUGAGUAGCUUCAUAUGCCACCACUUCAGGCCCCAUGUGCUGUAGAUAUCACUCUGUAUAAAUAAAAUACUGAUUGGCCAGUAGCCAGGCAGGAAGUAUAGGCGGGACAAGCAGAGAAGAGAAUUCUGGGAAGUGGAAGGCUGAGUGGGAGAGAGACACUGCCAGCCUCUGCCAUGACAAGCAACAUGUAAAGAUGCCGGUAAGCCACAAGCCACGUGGCAAAGUAUAGAUUAAUAGAAAUGGGUUAAUUUAAGAUGUAAGAACUAGAUAGCUAGAAGCCUGAGCC